CACAAAUAGUAUUUAGAAUACAAAAAUGGAAGUUUGGUGUAAAUCCAACGCGGUCCCGCCACUGUGAUAAGUACAUUGUGCUUUAAGUCAGGUCUUUGAUUGUAUUCUGCUAUUGCGGACUGUUUCGUGGUAAAACAGGCUGUUUUUC
Molecule: non-coding RNA, 148 nt
Organism: Brochothrix thermosphacta
Lineage: Bacteria; Bacillati; Bacillota; Bacilli; Caryophanales; Listeriaceae
Source: Rfam